This 232-nucleotide ribosomal RNA is filed under the name uncultured bacterium. Its description in RNAcentral is "partial 16S ribosomal RNA". It matches the Rfam family "Bacterial small subunit ribosomal RNA", at positions 118 to 347 of the family's 1533-position model. The record is from RNAcentral.
UGGGCAACCUUGCCCCUAGCUCUGGGAUAACUGACGGGAAACUGUAGCUAAUACCGGAUGUGACACGAGACUGCAUGGUCUUCGUGUGGAAAGAUUUAUCGGCUAGGGAUGGGCCCGCGGUCUAUCAGCUUGUUGGUGGGGUAAUGGCUCACCAAGGCGACGACGGAUAACCGGCCUGAGAGGGCGACCGGUCACACUGGGACUGAGACACGGCCCAGACUCCGUACGGGAG